Molecule: long non-coding RNA, 734 nt
Organism: Dioscorea cayenensis subsp. rotundata (Guinea yam)
Lineage: Eukaryota; Viridiplantae; Streptophyta; Magnoliopsida; Dioscoreales; Dioscoreaceae
Exons: 4
Source: RefSeq, a predicted model, not a curated record
UCUCUCAACGGCUCACACACACACUCACCCUUUCUCUCUCUCUCUCUCUCUCUCUCUCUCAACUCUUCCAUUCAUCACCGGAAUCAAGCGCCUGUGAACGAAAGUCUCCGGAAAACUUCGUCCGGCGAGGGCAUUUCCAUCAAAAUCUAGGAUUAUCAGAGCCUUUCAAGUUGAAGAGCAAAAGAUUGUAAAGAAAGUUCUCAAGAUUCAGAAGGCCAAAGAGAAACUGUCAUCAAAGAGCUAGAUUAUAGCAGGCGGACAGUGUGUGGGCAUUUGUGGACAAAGUGAGGAACAUGUAUUGAUGGGUCAUCACAUGGUUGGUUCUGUCUGCUGAAGGAAUCACUAACUCACUGGUGGAUGGGAUGAUGUUUCGAUGAUCAAAAUGAUGAAUUCAGAAGACAUGGAUCAUUUGAAUCUGACACAGCAACAAAAGUUUCAGAGUUUUUCAUUUCUGAGUUUUUGUUUCUCCAAUUGUAUGUUUAAGAAUGGUUUCUAUUAGUAUUGGCUACAAAGUUGUUGUGUUAGAGUGGAGAAAUAGUGUUAUUUUGGAAAAUUACCUCCCUCUAAUGCUUGUUUGAGUUUUAUUUUUCCACAUGAUUACUAGGAUGUUCUGAUUAAUGCCUACAUAGAUUCUUCUUUUAUGGAUUAGAGUGUUUAUGUUCCUUUGGCAGUUGACUUUGGAUGCCUGUGAGCUUUUCUAUAGAAGUGUAUGGUUUUGUGUGAGUUCAUCACCA